This 347-nucleotide ribosomal RNA is filed under the name uncultured bacterium. Its description in RNAcentral is "partial 16S ribosomal RNA". It matches the Rfam family "Bacterial small subunit ribosomal RNA", at positions 338 to 682 of the family's 1533-position model. The record is from RNAcentral.
CCUACGGGAGGCAGCAGUGAGGAAUAUUGGUCAAUGGACGAGAGUCUGAACCAGCCAAGUAGCGUGAAGGAUGACUGCCCUAUGGGUUGUGAACUUCUGUUAUAGGGGAAUAAAAUGUUCCACGUGUGGGAUUUUGUAUGUACCAUAUGAAUAAGGAUCGGCUAACUCCGUGCCAGCAGCCGCGGUAAUACGGAGGAUCCGAGCGUUAUCCGGAUUUAUUGGGGUGAAAGGGAGCGUAGGGGGAUUGUUAAGUCAGUUGUGAAAGUUUGCGGCUCAACCGGAAAAUUGCAGUUGAAACGGGCAGUCUUGCGUACAGUAGAGGUGGGCGUACUUCGUGGUGUAGCUGU